RNAcentral lists this ribosomal RNA (253 nucleotides) under uncultured bacterium. Its description in RNAcentral is "partial 16S ribosomal RNA". It matches the Rfam family "Bacterial small subunit ribosomal RNA", at positions 524 to 776 of the family's 1533-position model. The record is from RNAcentral.
UACGCAGGGGGCGAGCGUUGUCCGGAUUCAUUGGGCGUAAAGCGCGGGCAGGCGGCCUGGUAAGUCGGCCGUGAAAGCGCCGGGCUCAACUCGGCGAGGUCGGGCGAGACUGCGAGGCUAGAGGCUGGUAGAGGGCGGUGGAAUUCCGGGUGUAGUGGUGGAAUGCGUAGAGCUCCGGAGGAACACCAGUGGCGAAGGCGGCCGCCUGGGCCAGUCCUGACGCUGAGCCGCGAAAGCGUGGGGAGCGAACAGG